This 253-nucleotide ribosomal RNA is filed under the name uncultured bacterium. RNAcentral's name for it is "partial 16S ribosomal RNA". It matches the Rfam family "Bacterial small subunit ribosomal RNA", at positions 524 to 776 of the family's 1533-position model. The record is from RNAcentral.
UACGUAGGUGGCAAGCGUUGUCCGGAAUUACUGGGUGUAAAGCGCGUGUAGGCGGGAGGCCAAGUCUGCUGUGAAAUCGCUCGGCUCAACUGGGCGGGGUCGGUGGAAACUGGUCACCUGGAGGACGGUAGAGGCGAGUGGAAUUCCCGGUGUAGUGGUGAAAUGCGUAGAGAUCGGGAGGAACACCAGUGGCGAAGGCGGCUCGCUGGGACGUUACUGACGCUGAGACGCGAAAGCGUGGGGAGCAAACAGG